GAUGAACGCUGGCGGCGUGCCUAAUACAUGCAAGUCGAGCGAACAGACGAGGAGCUUGCUCCUCUGACGUUAGCGGCGGACGGGUGAGUAACACGUGGAUAACCUACCUAUAAGACUGGGAUAACUUCGGGAAACCGGAGCUAAUACCGGAUAAUAUAUUGAACCGCAUGGUUCAAUAGUGAAAGACGGUUUUGCUGUCACUUAUAGAUGGAUCCGCGCCGCAUUAGCUAGUUGGUAAGGUAACGGCUUACCAAGGCAACGAUGCGUAGCCGACCUGAGAGGGUGAUAGGCCACACUGGAACUGAGACACGGUCCAGACUCCUACGGGAGGCAGCAGUAGGGAAUCUUCCGCAAUGGGCGAAAGCUUGACGGAGCAACGCCGCGUGAGUGAUGAAGGUCUUCGGAUCGUAAAACUCUGUUAUUAGGGAAGAACAAAUGUGUAAGUAACUAGGCACGUCUUGACGGUACCUAAUCAGAAAGCCACGGCUAACUACGUGC
RNAcentral lists this ribosomal RNA (498 nucleotides) under uncultured bacterium. RNAcentral's name for it is "partial 16S ribosomal RNA". It matches the Rfam family "Bacterial small subunit ribosomal RNA", at positions 28 to 508 of the family's 1533-position model. The record is from RNAcentral.